AUGCUGCCAAACCCCAACCAAUAGUGAAUUAGAACAACAGGUGAAAAUUAUGCGGUCGGAAUAGCUAGCUUCAAGCCUUCAACCAAGAACUAGCCAUCUGUUCUCUCUAGAGAGAAAAAGAGAGAGUUAUGGCUCCUUUUACUUCCCUUCUGCUACUGCUCUUUGCCUUUCUUGGAACAGUAACACCUGCAAAAUCAAUGCCUGCAUUUUUCCCCAGAGCAAGCUACUAUCAAUCUUUAACCGCCAAACAAUCAAAGGCCACAAAGCCAAAGGUCGCUUACAAGACCCACUACUUCCCUCAGAUUCUGGACCACUUCACUUUCCAACCCAAGAGCUCUAAAAUUUUCUACCAGAAGUACCUCAUUAAUAGCCAAUACUGGCACCGAGGAGCUCCUAUCUUUGUCUACACUGGAAAUGAAGGUGACAUUGACUGGUUUGCGGCCAACACUGGCUUCUUGCUAGAUAUUGCUCCCAAGUUCCGGGCUCUCCUGGUUUUCAUCGAAGUACUGUCCUGUUUAACUUCGAAAAAAGGAAAAAAAUGUCCUUCAAAAAAAUCAGUCUUAUGUUACUCAAUAGGGCUAGAGAAUGCAAUUAAAAUUUGAAAGCACUAUCUGGGUUUGCUCGGAGCACAUGGGAACAUUUUUCUUGGUGUUGCAUUCCCAAGGCAAAGCACCAAAAGUCCCUUUUGCUUGCCCCUCAACUACUGAAGUACUCCAUGCCGGUUCCCAGAAUGCUAAAAAAUGAUAGGAACCCAAGACAAUAAUGGGUUCAGCUAAAUCAUAAAAGCAUGUCUUGGGUGUUCCUCAAAGCAUCGUUUCUUGUUAAAUUUCAGUAAUAUUUUAUCCAGAGAAGAAAACGUCAUUACUGAUGGGUUUGUUUCUGUGUGGUUUCAGCACAGAUUUUAUGGGGAGUCAAUGCCAUUUGGGAAGGACUCGUACAAUUCAGUAGAGACAUUAGGGUACUUGAAUUCACAGCAAGCAUUGGCUGAUUUUGCGGUUCUGGUGAGGAGCUUGAAGCACAAUCUUUCCUCUGAAGCAUCUCCUGUGGUGGUGUUUGGUGGCUCUUAUGGAGGCAGUAAGCUCAAAACCCUUCUCAAUCUUUUUAUGCUUUAAAGGUUUAUCUUUGGAAUAGUCUUGAAUAUGAUUGCUUGCUGGUAUAUUCAUAUGAUGUGAAAGUAGAUAUCUUCGCCUAUGAAUAUAUUUUCCUCAAUUCAGUAGCUUUUGUUGUUUGAAGUGUUGUAAUUCAGUAAUUGAAGGAAGGACAACCAUUAAGGGAGCAGCUUUUAAUGCUCUUUGCAGUGUUAUGCUGCUGGAUGUUCCAGUUGAAUUAUCAAAUAGCUUAGUUGUGCUGGCUGCAUGGUUCAGACUGAAAUACCCACACAUAGCCAUUGGUGCAUUGGCAUCUUCAGCCCCUAUUUUGCAGUUUGAUGAUAUUACUCCGUGGUCAAGCUUCUAUGAUGCUGUAUCCCAGGAUUACAAGGAUGCAAGCUUGAAUUGCUAUGAAGUGAUUAAAGGUAGCUGGGCAGAGCUGGAGGCAUUGUCAGCUCAGAAAGAAGGGUUGGUUGAACUAAGCAGAACCUUCAGAACUUGCAAAAAUCUUCAUUCAUUAGAUUCUGUCUGGGACUGGCUAUGGUCUGCAUUUGUUUACACAGCCAUGGUGAACUAUCCAACUGAAGCAAAUUUUAUGAUGCCACUGCCUGCCUACCCUGUGAAGGAGAUGUGCAAGAUCAUUGAUGGAUUUCCACCAAGGGCUUCCAAGAUUAGCAGGGUUUUUGCAGCUGCCAGCUUAUAUUACAACUAUUCUCGUGGAGAAAAAUGCUUUCAGUUGGAAAAUGAACCUGAUUCUCAUGGCCUUCAUGGUUGGAACUGGCAGGCAUGUACAGAGAUGGUCAUGCCAAUGACUUGCUCAAUAGAGAGCAUGUUUCCUCCAUCUGGGUAUGAUUACAAAGAGUUUGCAGAAGGAUGCAAGAAAAAAUAUGGGGUCACGCCUCGACCGCAUUGGAUCACUACUGAAUUUGGUGGCAAAAGAAUUGAUCAAGUGUUGAAGAGAUCUGGUGGCAACAUCAUAUUUUCUAAUGGAAUGCAAGACCCCUGGAGCAGAGGAAGUGUCUUGAAAAAUAUAUCUUCCAGCAUCAUUGCUCUCGUCACCAAGAAGGGAGCUCAUCAUGUUGAUUUUAGAUCUGCAACAAAAGAUGACCCUGACUGGCUUAAGGAGCUGAGGAGGCAGGAAGUUGAGAUUAUUGGGAGGUGGAUAGAUGAGUACUAUGCAGAUUUAAAACAAGGGAUAGAUAAUGCAUGAAGUUUAGAUUACAGAAGAGGAUCAUGUGCAAAACUUGAUGAUUGUUACCACAAGUGUUACUUAUUUUUUAUGUGUAUGUACCAACUAAUUGUGGUCUCAUAAUGCCAUAAUCAAGCCUUUGAACUAAUAGUUUAGUGUCUAUUUAGAGGAGUAAUUAGUAGAGGAUUUGAUAAACAUGACAUUUGGGCAAUUUU
Molecule: unclassified non-coding RNA, 2492 nt
Filed under: Hevea brasiliensis (rubber tree)
Lineage: Eukaryota; Viridiplantae; Streptophyta; Magnoliopsida; Malpighiales; Euphorbiaceae
Source: RNAcentral